Molecule: ribosomal RNA, 253 nt
Filed under: uncultured bacterium
Lineage: Bacteria
Description: partial 16S ribosomal RNA
Rfam family: Bacterial small subunit ribosomal RNA
Source: RNAcentral
GACGUAGGGUGCAAGCGUUGUCCGGAUUUAUUGGGCGUAAAGAGCUCGUAGGCGGCUCGUCGCGUCGGCUGUGAAAACUCGGGGCUUAACCCUGGGCUUGCAGUCGAUACGGGCGGGCUGGAGUUCGGUAGGGGAGACUGGAAUUCCUGGUGUAGCGGUGAAAUGCGCAGAUAUCAGGAGGAACACCGGUGGCGAAGGCGGAUCUCUGGGCCUUACCUGACGCUGAGGCGCGAAAGCUAGGGGAGCAAACAGG